UUUUUUUUUUCUGGCUGCACCCAUGUAAAUUGUAAGUUCCCAGGCCAAGGAUCGAAUCUGUGCCACAGCAGUGACCCGAGUUGCUGCAGUGGCCCCAAGCCGCUGCAGUGACAAUGCUGGCUCCUUAACCCACUGUUCCGCAAGAAGACUCCCUCAAUAACUCACUUCUAAAUAACACAUGGGAUCAAAGAAGAAGUCUCAAGAUAUAUGAAAAAUUAUUUCAAACUACACAAAAUGAUUAUGCAACUUGUAUAUAAGUUGGGGGACGCAGCUUGGAUCUGGUGUUGCUAUGGCUGUGGCAUAGGUCGACAGCUACAGCUAUGAUUUGACCCCGAGUCUGGGAUUUCCAUAUGCUGCAGGUGAGGCCCUAAAAAAGACAAAAAAUAAAACAACCAAAAAAACACCCCAAAACCAAAACCUAAAAUGAACAGAAUUUUAAAAAUAAUAAAAAUUGAGGGACAAUCAAUGUAAUUGUGAAGAACCAAUGGAGAAUAUUAAAACGAAAAAAAAUCUGGUUAUUGGACAAGACUAAUAAAAUUGAUAAACAUCUAGUCAACGUAACUAAGAAAAGAAGAAAUUAUAACAUAAGGCCAUCCUGGGUAACUGUUGAGUUAUGACAGCUGGUUGCUGAAGCCUCUACAUUAAAGGACUCUCUGAGGACACUUCCAGGUAUGACUGUAAACAGUGAAGACCCCUCUGUGGUAGGGGUGUCCAUUCAAGGGGGGCCAAGUUGCAACACCAUAAAUGGACAGAAGUGCAUACAAAUGCACAAGAAUAAGGAACAGGUUACUUCCUAAACACCACCAGAAUCUAGACAAUGUUGUGAGUGCUAAGAGGGAUGACAGCUAUUUCUUCAUGGUGUCAGGAAGGGCUUGGCCCUGUGGGGUUUUUUUUGUUUGUUUGUUUGUUUGUUUUAAGGGCUGCACCCACAGCAUAUGAAAGUUCCCAGGCUAGGGGUCCAAUCAGAAUUGGAGCUGCCAACCUACACAAGAGCCAUGGCAAUGGUGGAUUCCCAACGCACUAAACCUGGCCAGGGAUCGAAUCCAUGUCCCCAUGGAUACCAGUUGGGUUCAUUAUUGCUAAGUCACAAUGGGAACUCCACCUUGUGUUUUUAAAUAAUCUUUUUAAUAUAACCAAAAGGUCAGGGACUCUUAUGUGUGGGGCCCAUCCACUUUUUAAAAAUAAUUUUGGGAGUUCCCAUUGUGGCGCAGUGGUUAACGAAUCUGACUAGGAACCAUGAGGUUGUGGGUUUGAUUCCUGGCCUAGCUCAGUGGGUUAAGGAUCUGGCAUUGCCGUGAGCUGUGGGGUAGGUCGCAGACGCGGCUCGGAUCCCGAGUUGCUGUGGCUCUGGUGUAGGCCAGUGGCUAUAGCUCCGAUUAGACCCCUAGCCUGGGAACCUCCAUAUGCCACAGGAGUGGCUCAAGAAAAGGCAAAAAGACAAAAAAAAAAAAAGUCCUGGAGUUUCUAUUGUGGCUCAGCAGUAAUGAUCCUGACUAGUAUCCAUGAGGAUUUGGGUUUGAUCCCCAGCCUCGGUCAGUGGGUUAAGGAUCUGACAUUGCACCAAAUUCUUAACCCACUGAGCAAGGCCAAAGAUUGAACCCAAAUCCUCUCAGAGACAAUAUCGGGUCCUUAACCCACUGAGCCACAAGGUGAAUGCUAAAGGCCUUUUUUUAAUGUAUACUGGGCCAUAUUAACUCACUUAAGUAAGGGGUAAAGACCAUGGAAUCCCAUUUUGUGAAGUCAAUUUGGAGGUACGAAACAAAUAUUAAUUAAUAAACUGGUUUAGAGCUUUCUGACUCACCAUGGGAUAUUUUAGGACAUUGUGAGAAAAGGCAAAGCAGUUCUGAUGGUUAAGCAAAGUGUACCAGUUUGUCCUCCAUAUUAUAUUCAAUAGUUCCCCUAAGAUCAUGGUCUACCUUGCUUAAAUUUACAAGAUCCCAGGUAUAACUGUAAUUUGAAACCCAGAAUUGAGUAACUGCAUAAAGGGUUGUGAAUUACUGUGUUACAGGAGAUGGUAACAUUAAUUCAAGACCUGUGUUUUAGAGGCUCAAAAGCCAAAGGGCACCCUUGUAUCCUUUUUUGUUACAAAAAUUAUUUUAACAUAUUUUAGCUUUCCAGAUGGGUCAAAUUGUGGCCCUUUGUCCACAUAAUUUUCCUGUUGUUCCUUCUCUCAUGUUCUUCCCUGUUUUGUAUUUUAGGUCUCUGCAUAAACCUCAGGGAAGUGGGUGUCCUCUCUGCUCCAGUAUUUAUAAAACUGUUCCUCUAGAGGUCCUCAAACCUGUCACAUCAGGUUAGAGCACUCUGGCAUGGAAAUGGUUGCUACAUAGUUUAAGUAUCCCGGGCUGAAAUCUGGUUUGAACUAAUCCCUUUGCUGUGCCAUAUCCCUUUACUGUUUUGCCCACAAUAGCUCAGAGGAUCAGUAGGGGCAAGGGCUGCAGCAACAGAGGUACUUGAGGGUCCUGGUGAGCCCCCUGGUAUUAGGAGUGGACUCGGCCUGCCACUUACCGGCUGCCUUGCUCCGUUUCCACUCUGAAAAAAACCUCUCUUCUUCACAGUGUGUAAUCAUCCUUAAACUCACCUGAGACUACCCCACCCCUACUGUCAGGGCCACCGCAGCCUCACUCAUGCAUUCACUCUAAACGUACAGGCUAAAUCGAAAACGAUAACUGUUAAGUGGGCCCCAUUUCCCGAUGGCUGAAGCAAGAGCACCGAAGGAAAUCAGGAUGAUUUGGAGGAAGUCUGCUUUUGAUCUUCUUGUCUUACAGGGUUUCCCCCCGCAACCUUCCCAGGUAUUGCUACUUAAACGAAGUAAUUUUUAUGAACCAUAUUUUUCUAUUUAGUAGCCUGUAAUUUUAACUUGUAAUUUGUUCCCUGUCUUACUGUGGUCAUUGCAAAAUCUUGGGAGACGCGGGCACAGAGCUGCCGGGGGAGGAGCUGGGCAGUGACACCCGGGGUCCCAGCGGCCAGCCCAGCACCCCCACCUCCCAGUUCGUCCUUAAGGGAAUGAGGUCUGAGCAGCGCCGAGAGGACUCAGGUCCACAAACUCCGGGGUCGACCACGAGGAGGCCCAGAUCCUGCCACCGCUGUUCGGACCCCUCCUUCCCGUCCUCGGACACCCAGCCCCACACACUCACCAAUUCCUGGGGUUUCGAGUCCCCGGGGUCGUCCCUUUGACUCCCACGACCUGCAGAACUCACAGCGCUCCUGACGCAGAACAGAAACACGGUUCCAACCUUCCCGCCUGCCUUCUGAAGCUUCCAGCUAUUUGCUCCACCCAACUGCCCCUGCUGUACUCCUGAUUGGACCGUUCGAAAGGAACCGCCCCCUUUUCCCUGAGUGACAACGGGGCAGGAAACUCAUGUGGUGGAGCCCAACAAGCUUCGCCCGUGGGCGGGAACUUGUCCCCUCUAGGGACUUUUGCUUUUAAACAAACUCCUCCCUGGUCCUCGAGGGACAGUGGUGUCUUCCUACAGCUCCUUUUGAGUUCGAGACCCAGGUGUUCGUAGGGAAUUCCAGAGUCAUUUUCCAGACAGAGAGCCACCAUUGACUGAAGUGAGAGGGGUCUCAAGUCAGGCCAACUGGGACAAGAGGGUCCAAGGAUCUCCCGGGUCAGGGGUUGGCAUAGGCUGCGAGCCCACUUGUGGUACAGGCCCUUGUUUACAAACACACUUGAAAAUAACCUAAACAAUGUACUAAAGAGUCUCCCUCCGUUCUGACCUAUGUCAACAGCUUGAGGCUUCCACCCACCCCGUCUUCAUCUCCAUUCACUUGCACUUGAGCUAAAGAAUCCUCCAAGCACUUGGCUCUGGUGGCAGUUUGAAUCCCCUCAGCCCUCACCUGGGUGAAGGGACCUGGCUCUGACCAACCAUAACCUAUGAGGUGUGUAUAUAAAACCCUCAGGUAUAUAGUUUACACUAGAAGAAAAUGUGUUCUAGAUAGCUUUUGAGUGUCCCCCUAGAAAUUUUCAAAUAUAAAUGGCUAUAGCACUAAGGCAACUGAAGCUUGUUACCAAAAUAAAAAAAUGAAAAAAUUAUGUAAAUAUGUACAUACCUGAAAACUCUUUAAUAUACUUAACAGGUUGAUUCAAAACUCCUCAAGCACUUAUUUGAAGAGCUUUGUUGAGAUGUAAUACACAUAUCAUACAAUGCAUUUCCGUAACACGUAUAAUUCAAUGGUGUUUGGUAUAUUCACAGGUAUGUACAAUCAUCACCACCAUUUUUUGUGGCCUCAAAAAGAAACCGGAGUUCCUAUUGUGGCUCAGCAGGUUAAGAACCCUACAUAGUGUCUCUGAGGAUGUGGGUUCAGUCCCUGGCCUCACUCAGUGGGUUAAGGAUCCAGCAUUACCAAAAGCUGUGGCGUAGGUCACAGAUAAGGCUCCGAUCCAGUGUUGCCAUGGUUGUGGUGUAGGCCUGUCUGCAGUUCUGAUCCGACCCCUAGCCUGUGAACUUCCAUAUGCUGCAGGUAAAAAAGAAGGGAGGGAGGGAAGGAAGGAAGUUAGGAACCCUUGUACCCUUUAUAUGUCACUGCCUUAUCUUCCCAUCUUCUUCCUCCAAACUGCAAUCCUAGGCAACCUCUAAUCUGUGACCAUGUUGUCCCUAUGAACGCCAUUGCUUCUCACUUGGGGAACCUAAGGAGCCCUCAGGGAUUCUGGAGGUCUGGGAAGGGGGUGACUUCUUUCAACACCACGGCACCUGGCAAGGACUGAGGAGAGGGGAGGCCACCCCUCCUGCAGGUGGUUAUGGCCGAAGGCCCAGGUUUAGCUGUGUCUUGUCUCACGGGGGUCUCUGUAGCUGAGCUGAGCUCCUGGGCUGCUGAUUACAGGCAGCAAGUCAUAAGGUGCCUGGGAAGCUGGAUGAGGGGUGACAUGCUCAGGUGUUUUUAGCACAGCUCUGGAAGAAGGGGUUGUUGCAGCUCCAAUGGCAAACAGACUGAGAUCAAGGGAAGCAGUUUGUGUUAGAAGCCAGUGGACAAGAGUUUCCAUUGUGGCUCAGCACUAACGAACCUGACUAGUAUUCGUGAGAACUUGGGUCUGAUCCCCGGCCUUGCUCAGUGGGUUAAGGAUCCAGGGUUGCUGUGAGCUGUGGUAUAGGGCGCAACUCAGAUCUGGCAUUGCUGUGGCUGUGGUAUAGGACAGCAGUUGCAGCUCCGAUUUGAGCCCUAGCCUGGGAACUUUCAUAUGCCACA
Molecule: long non-coding RNA, 5184 nt
Filed under: Sus scrofa (pig)
Lineage: Eukaryota; Metazoa; Chordata; Mammalia; Artiodactyla; Suidae
Description: lncRNA (ENSSSCG00000054319.1)
Source: RNAcentral